This 474-nucleotide long non-coding RNA is filed under the name Brassica rapa (field mustard). RNAcentral describes it as "long non-coding RNA (BRAP_LNC007749)". The record is from RNAcentral. Lineage: Eukaryota; Viridiplantae; Streptophyta; Magnoliopsida; Brassicales; Brassicaceae.
GAACUCUCUGAAUCGCAAGACCUUCUCCAAUAAUAAUCAUCUGCAACACUUAUUCUUGGCGACGACGUUGUUUCAUCAGAAUAAACUCUGCUUCUGGACAACGUCCUUACACGGAUCCUCGUGUCGCUUCCAAUACCUCCAGGUGAUCUAGCGGAUCUACAUCUCCUUAAUCUUUUACACAAUGGGGUCAAAAAAUCAAGAUACUUGAACAAAACCCAUUUCGACACUUUCAAUUUUAUAUAAGGAGACUUGUUCUUAAUGUCACGUGUUUCGAUCUUCUUCUCCUUUUUCGUAUCCAACGGCUUAUAUUCUUCCUCGGUAGCUGCUGACGUGGCUUUUGAUAUAUAAGGCACGACGUAGCCGUCGCGGAUAAGCUCGUCGGCGUGAACUAAAGAGUGAUCUUGGUCGGAGAAAGAGACAAAGUUAUCGAACUUAAAGCUACUUUCAUGGGCUUUGUUGAUGAAGAAUCUUCUU